This is a long non-coding RNA of Triticum aestivum (bread wheat), 3638 nucleotides long. RefSeq lists it as uncharacterized. NCBI's taxonomy places the organism in Eukaryota, Viridiplantae, Streptophyta, Magnoliopsida, Poales, Poaceae. The transcript is spliced from 2 exons. The record is from RefSeq and is a predicted model, not a curated record.
GAAAGUUUUUUCACACAUUGAAGUUCUAAAUUUUGUUUGAUCUGCAAAGUAUGAAGUCUAUAUUUUUUUUCAUUUGAGAGAAACAAAAAAGAGAAAUCUUCUUGCUGUAAGUUAGUUGAAGAGUACGGAUCUCAAAGCAAUGUUGAAGGGAUGGAGAUAAGAGGUUCCAUGUAGCCUACAGAGAAACUUUACCUUAGGUUCCUUGUGAUGAAACCAACCCAUCAAAGUCUAGUCAUAUAUUUGCAUUGGUGGUUGCAUUUUUCGUUCGUACUAUGUUACAAAGUUGAACAAAAUCUGUCUUGCAAAUGCAAACCAAUGCGCGGCGUGUUACUCUUUGCAGAGAUACGAUCGAUGGUCUGUUACUAGUUACGACACCAGCGGCACGAUACAUUCCCUGCACCUGUUUUCCUUUCUCAGUUAACCAGUCAGCAACAUCUCUUCCCACCACCACCGCCGGCGCCGCCCCAACCCCAUCCGUCACCACCAUGCUCCAGUAGAGAACCGCGAUGCAUGCAGUAGAGAAUCCUCGUCGGCUCGAUGCUCUACUGCACAAGUUCAGAUCCAGCGCUGGAGAGCGCCAGAGGCCGCCGGCCGCCCUAGGCCCUAAUGCAGUUCAGAUUCAGCGCCGGAGAGCAUUUUUUUUUUUCCAUGGGUCAGAGUGCCCUACAUCCCAGACGAGCUGCUGGAGAUGCUCUCCCUCGCCCCCUUGGCCUCCUGGAAUGAGGAGGAGGAUGCUCGACGCUGUCAGCACGUGAUUCAUUCCGUGAGACACGACUCGCCAUGGCAGAUCCAAGGUCAAAGGCCCUAGCUGUUCGAUUUCUUCAUGCCCCUCUCACCAAGUGAAGACUCAACUAUUCCAAGUGGGCAAGUGCCUGAUGCUAAUUACAGCAAAGCUGUCGAAUACCAUGGAUUUCGAAUCUGCAAGCAAAAACAUCAAGGUUAAGAUCGCCAUUGCAGGAAGGGUUUACAAUAGGCAAAUCUGGACAAGGAUGAAUUCGGGGAGAACGUCUAUGAUCCAAGUUAAUGGGUGCCGCAGAAGAAGACUGAAGUGCAAAUUUCAUUGCAUUCAAGAUACUCAUCCAAGUCCUGUAUCAUGGGCUACUAGUUUGUGGUGUUAUUGGGUUCAGUUUGCCUCUCGCUGAUUUGAAUGCACUUUGCAUUUUUGAAUUACUCGGCCUUGAGUGAACUUCAUCUGGUCCUUUCCUUCCUAUGCAUAACUGUGUUGGCUAGGUAAGGGGUCCGAGGUCCAUUGAACAACCUUUCAUAGUAGUUUUUCUGAUGCUACUCUGUGGUGUAAAGAGGUUAUGAGCACACAAGGGCCAUUUAAACGAUACGAUGCAACAUUUUUUGAGAGGUUUAUAGCACCGCGGUAGGGUCUUGGAUGCGUAUCAUUUUUUUUUUGUUAAUUAGGAUAGUGCAGGGCGAUGUGCAGCCCCGCCUCGGUCAUGGAUCACCGGUGCCGUCACUGUUGGGAGGCUGCAUCGUUUGCUCUCAGGGCUUCCCGGAGGUGUUUGCGUUCGGGAACCACUGCGUCGGCGUACCAGGUGGAAGGGCUGGCAAAUCAGGAAGGCGAGGACCUCUUCUGGUAUACCAAUUCCAGCGGCGGCACACAUGGAUUGGAGCAGGCGGAUGCCUCCCUAUCUUUUCCACCUCUGCUGCUUAGACAUGCCAGGAUGACCCAAGGUAUCCAUGAGAGGAACGACACUAUAAGAAGUUGAUUUUGUACUAAGUUUGCAUCCAAAGGUACAUAGAUGGAUUGUUUUGUUGAAAUUUAUUCUUUGUUCAUGAUUGUAUACUCUCAAUAGUUUUACACAGAUGAAAAAAGACAUACUAGGUGUAGCAAUUAACACAUACCUAUAACUAAUAAAAUCAACAGUUCGAAAUUAUGGUGUUCUAUUUCUAUCAAACAACAACAUAUUAAGUGUUGCCUGCGUCUCCCUAUUUUACUAUUCUUUAGGCUCCAUUACAGAGUACUAAUUAACAUAAAACGUCAAUAUAUUAGGUUUUGCCCGCUUCUCCCCAUUGUACUGUUUUUAGGCUCCAUUACAGAGUGCUAAUUAAGAUAAAACAGUAACAUUUGGGAAGGAGCCCAUCAAAUGCCUUAUUAAAUUUACCAAUACCAGAUUUAAUUGCACCAUGGAACACAGGAUGCAAUUUAUCUCUCGACAAGGGAGGCAAUCCUGCAUGAUCAUAAGUUAUUUUAUAUUAGGAAGGCACGGCAAAAUUUUAAUGAAGUAGCACUGGACCUUUUUGGCAAUUUAAAUUUACGGAAAAGCUAAUACGAAAUGGUGCAUCUUAAUACUUGACACUGCCUAAACAGGAAUACUCUACCUUUACAAAUGGACCUAAAAAUGUAUCCAUUCAGUAUUUACAAAAAAUAGAAAAAAAUGAUUUGUGUACUGAGUGAUUGUCCUCAGCAUCAGUUAAGCAAAUGGUUGUAAAAUACACUCUCACAAAAUAUGGCAGUUGCUUCUCUGUAUGAACCUAAGAGGGUGUUCUGAAUGGCUUGAACUUUUGCACAUUUAAGAAGAACUACUCCAUACAUAUUUGCAAUGGUGGCCUAGGAAUGAGCCACUUAGGUUGUCCUAAUCGUUAAAAAUCGGUAGGAGUAUCUUGCUGGAGCCUUGUGGAAACCAUGGCUUUAUCUAUUAAGAAAUAUCAACGAAUCAUAGAGAACUAAUGAUUACCUACCUAAAAAAAAGAUGAUGGCUGAGUCAAUAAGGUUCUCCUCAUAGCUUAAUAUCCAUAUUUAGUAUCUGAACUUUCUGGAUUACCAUGGAAAACUUGGGUAUCCAUGUUCUCAAAUACGAACUAAUCAUAUGAAUCGUGAUCACAUGCCUGAAACAAAAGGCAAAAAUCAUAUAUUAGCUUAUAAUCCCUGGGCGUUCCUUAGAGUGCCCUAGCUCAAAGCUGACCUCCCCUCUGUUUCAGGACUCGACUGCUAGAAAAAAGGCGCACAAAUAUAUUUUUUGCAGCAAUAUCUAACAUCAAUAAAUAGUUCAAGGACGGAAUGCACAAACUGUACGUGAUUAAACCACACAAAAAAGCAAUUUCAUCCAAUGGAGGGAGUCAAAUUAAUUACAUCUACAUAAUUGUUGAGGCGUGUGAUGGAGUGGACUCCUAGGGUGAGGUCGUUGGCAUGAUGUUAUUUCAGUUCUGAUAUGCUGCAAAAAGAAAUAUUUACCAACAACAGUAAGCAAAGGGGCACUGUUUUCCUAGAGCACUGGUGAAAAGCAAUUUAACAAAUCUCGUUUGCAAAAUUAUUAUAAACACAUACAACAUGCAUGUCUUGACACGGACUAAUUGCAAACAUUCCUUGAGGUCAGUGCUUAUCGCAUGCUUCUAUGUAAUGUUUCUCAUAGUUCUAGAUCAAAAAUGCUGAUGUUUUUUUAGGUUAUAGCUUGUUAGAUUCAGGAGGUCUUCUGUUAUUAGUACUAUUUUGAACGGGUUAGCAGGCAGUAGCACACCCAGGCCAAUUCCGCAAUGCUAUGCCAACGUCUGCACCACCUUAAUGUUACCCCUCAGCAGGGGCGGACCCAGGACAAAAAUGUCCCGGUGUCCAUGUGUAUAUUACAUACUUUGGUCUUUUGAAGGUCAACCAAUGUUAUAUGUAAAUGUAAUAUAUACUAAAAAGAUAA